AACGCUGGCGGCGUGCUUAACACAUGCAAGUCGAACGCGAAAGGGACUUCGGUCCUGAGUAAAGUGGCGCACGGGUGAGUAACGCGUAGAUAACCUGUCUUCAUGUCUGGAAUAAUACGCCGAAAGGGGUACUAAUACCGGAUAUUCUUGCUUUUCAUAAGUUAUGCAAGCAAAGGUGGCCUCUGCAUAUGCUACUGCAUGAAGAGGGGUCUGCGUACCAUUAGCUAGUAGGUGGGGUAAUGGCCUACCUAGGCGACGAUGGUUAGCGGGUCUGAGAGGAUGAUCCGCCACACUGGCACUGGAACACGGGCCAGACUCCUACGGGAGGCAGCAGUGAGGAAUAUUGCGCAAUGGGGGAAACCCUGACGCAGCGACGCCGCGUGAGUGAGGAAGGCCCUUCGGGUCGUAAAGCUCUGUCAAGAGGAAAGAAGUGUACAAUGGCUAAUACCUGUUGCAUUUGACGGUACCUCUAAAGGAAGCACCGGCUAACUCCGUGCCAGCAGCAGC
This 507-nucleotide ribosomal RNA is filed under the name uncultured bacterium. RNAcentral's name for it is "bacterial SSU rRNA". It matches the Rfam family "Bacterial small subunit ribosomal RNA", at positions 32 to 518 of the family's 1533-position model. The record is from RNAcentral.